Fragaria vesca subsp. vesca is the source of this 597-nucleotide RNA transcript. RefSeq lists it as uncharacterized. The transcript has 2 exons. The record is from RefSeq and is a predicted model, not a curated record. NCBI's taxonomy places the organism in Eukaryota, Viridiplantae, Streptophyta, Magnoliopsida, Rosales, Rosaceae.
GGGAGUGUAUAAUAAGCUUCUCCAACAAAUCCAGAGGCACUCCCCAAAAUAGGAUCCGACUUCAUCGCCAAAACUGCUGUCUUUGUAUUUGCUCGAUGCUCCAAGUUUUUCCCUGCUGUCCUAAUUAGUUAUUCAUCCUUUGCAUCAUCGUAUAAGUUCAUAACUACCCUUCACCGGAAAAAUCCAUUUUCGACGAACACCGAAAAUCCUAUAGAAGCAAAGAAGGAGAGCACAGACACUAAGGUUCGUUUCAGGGGAAGGACGAGGAGGCCUAGUUCCUCACCGGGAACGACGGUUUUCCUCUCAUUUUUGUCUUGCCGGUGUCGCGGCACUAGGUUUUGUUCAAAGGUGAGGCAUCAAGUAUGGUAAUGUGAUACGGCCUGUUUUUCAAUUUCCACGGUGCCUUCUGUUCAAAGGUGUAGACUGUAGAAGCAAUAUUAUAGAAGCUGAGUGAUGGGUGUUUGUGUCUCAAAGCCAAGUGAGGCUCUCAGAGCACAGACGAAAAGAGCCGAGAGACACGGCAGAGGCAGACUCCGACGCCGGGGGAGGAAGAGCAAGAAGGUAGCCUCCACCGUUAUAAGCUCGGAGAUUGCUGCU